Molecule: ribosomal RNA, 1692 nt
Filed under: soil metagenome
Description: bacterial LSU rRNA
Rfam family: Bacterial large subunit ribosomal RNA
Source: RNAcentral
GGAUUUGCAGCAAUGCAUCUGGUAGGGGAGCAUUCUACAUGCGGCGAAGCAGGAAGGUAACUGACUGUGGAGGGUGUAGAAAAGCAAAUGUAGGCAUAAGUAACGAUAAGGCGGGAGAGAAACCCGCCCACCGAAAGACUAAGGUUUCCUGAUCAACGCUAAUCGGAUCAGGGUUAGUCGGGGCCUAAGGUGAAGCCGAAGGGCGUAGCCGAUGGACAACUGGUUAAUAUUCCAGUACUUUUUAUAACUGCGAUGCGGUGACGGAGUAGUGACACUGACGCGAACUGACGGAAUAGUUCGUUAAAGGCCGUAGGUAUAUGGACUGUAGUUAAGUACGCAGACCAUGCUGAAAGCUGAUAGUACCUUGAGCCUUCGGGUAAGAGGAUAGUUCAGGUAAUCAGACUUCCAAGAAAACCCGCUAAGCUUCAGGUUAUAAAAACCCGUACCGUAAACCGACACAGGUAGUCGAGGAGAGAAUCCUAAGGUGCUCGAGUGAAUCAUGGCUAAGGAACUCGGCAAAAUGGCCCUGUAACUUCGGGAGAAGGGGCGCUGGUAGCAAUAUCAGCCGCAGUGAAAAGGCCCAGGCGACUGUUUAACAAAAACACAUGGCUAUGCAAAAUCGAAAGAUGACGUAUAUGGCCUGACACCUGCCCGGUGCCGGAAGGUUAAGAGGGGAUGUUAGGGUUAAACCGAAGCAUUGAAUCGAAGCCCCGGUAAACGGCGGCCGUAACUAUAACGGUCCUAAGGUAGCGAAAUUCCUUGUCGGGUAAGUUCCGACCUGCACGAAUGGUGUAACGAUCUGGGCGCUGUCUCAGCCAUGAGCUCGGUGAAAUUGUGGUAUCGGUGAAGACGCCGGUUACCCGCAACGGGACGGAAAGACCCCAUGCACCUUCACUACAACUUAACAUUGAUAUCGGAUACAGGAUGUGUAGGAUAGGUGGGAGACUGUGAUCCGGCUUCGCUAGGAGUCGGUUAGUCAACGUUGAAAUACCACCCUUUCUGUAUUUGGUGUCUAACUCCAUUAUGUGGAGGACAUUGUUUGGCGGGUAGUUUGACUGGGGUGGUCGCCUCCAAAAAGGUAACGGAGGCUUUCAAAGGUAAGCUCAGUACGCUUGGUAACCGUACGCGGAGUGCAAUAGCAUAAGCUUGCUUGACUGUGAGGCAGACAAGCCGAGCAGGGUCGAAAGACGGAUAUAGUGAUCCGGUGGUUCUGCAUGGAAGGGCCAUCGCUCAAAGGAUAAAAGGUACGCUGGGGAUAACAGGCUGAUCUCCCCCAAGAGCUCAUAUCGACGGGGAGGUUUGGCACCUCGAUGUCGGCUCGUCACAUCCUGGGGCUGGAGAAGGUCCCAAGGGUUGAGCUGUUCGCUCAUUAAAGUGGCACGCGAGCUGGGUUCAGAACGUCGCGAGACAGUUCGGUCCCUAUCUGUUGUGGGCGUUGGAAGUUUGAGUGGGGCUGACCUUAGUACGAGAGGACCGGGUUGGACUAACCUCUGGUGAAUCUGUUAUGGCGCCAGCUGUAUUGCAGAGUAGCUACGUUGGGAAUAGAUAAGCGCUGAAAGCAUCUAAGUGCGAAACUAGCCACAAGAUGAGACUUCCAUUGAGGGUCGUAGCAGACUACUACGUUGAUAGGUUACAGGUAUAAAGGUGGUGACAUCAUAGCCGAGUAAUACUAAUUGCCCGAAGCUUUCUCAU